AACGAACGCUGGCGGCAGGCUUAACACAUGCAAGUCGAACGCCCCGCAAGGGGAGUGGCAGACGGGUGAGUAACGUGUGGGAACAUACCCUUUUCUACGGAAUAGCUCUGGGAAACUGGAAUUAAUACCGUAUACGCCCUACGGGGGAAAGAUUUAUCGGGGAAGGAUUGGCCCGCGUUGGAUUAGCUAGUUGGUGGGGUAAAGGCCUACCAAGGCGACGAUCCAUAGCUGGUCUGAGAGGAUGAUCAGCCACAUUGGGACUGAGACACGGCCCAAACUCCUACGGGAGGCAGCAGUGGGGAAUAUUGGACAAUGGGCGCAAGCCUGAUCCAGCCAUGCCGCGUGAGUGAUGAAGGCCUUAGGGUUGUAAAGCUCUUUCACCGAUGAAGAUAAUGACGGUAGUCGGAGAAGAAGCCCCGGCUAACUUCGUG
This 431-nucleotide ribosomal RNA is filed under the name uncultured bacterium. Its description in RNAcentral is "partial 16S ribosomal RNA". It matches the Rfam family "Bacterial small subunit ribosomal RNA", at positions 29 to 507 of the family's 1533-position model. The record is from RNAcentral.